GUCUUUCUCGAGGGGCUCUCCUGGGCUUCUGAAGAAGGAGCCUCUCUGGAGUGCGGCGGAGGCGGCGCCUGCGAACCUAACUAGCUCCAGGUUAGGCCGGGCUUUGCGGGAAAGCAGCGGACUUGAAAAUACUGGAAAUCUGUCUGGAUCCAAAUUCUUUUGCAAGCCAGAUGAGUAACCAGAGGGCAUGAAAGGUUGAGAACAUUUGACUUCCCUGCAAACCUUGGUAUAGAUCACUUCCUUUUCUGUAGGAAAGGAAAGGCACCAAAGAGCACAAUGAGUACAAGAAAGCGUCGUGGUGGAGCAAUAAAUUCUAGACAAGCCCAGAAGCGAACUCGGGAAGCAACCUCCACCCCAGAGAUUUCCUUGGAAGCAGAACCCAUAGAACUCGUGGAAACUGGUAAGAUUGCCAGGGACACUACAACUGUGGGGUGUUAAAGUGGAGAGAGAACACGUACCAGGGUGAGCUAGUAGAAGGUGCUUUCAGUGUCUUUAGAAGGCCUGCCUAUGCAGUCUCACACUCAGCAUUUACAACUCAAAGCUUCACAGAUUCUGAAAUAGCCUCUCAACUGGGCUAACUGU
This 582-nucleotide small RNA is filed under the name Pongo abelii (Sumatran orangutan). RNAcentral describes it as "retained intron". Lineage: Eukaryota; Metazoa; Chordata; Mammalia; Primates; Hominidae. The record is from RNAcentral.